Molecule: ribosomal RNA, 494 nt
Filed under: uncultured bacterium
Lineage: Bacteria
Description: bacterial SSU rRNA
Rfam family: Bacterial small subunit ribosomal RNA
Source: RNAcentral
AAAGGAAUUGACGGGGGCCCGCACAAGCGGAGGAGCAUGUGGUUUAAUUCGAUGAUACGCGAGGAACCUUACCUAGACUUGAACGUAUUUGGAAUGAAGUAGAAAUAUUUCAGUCAGCAAUGACCAAUUACGAGGUGCUGCAUGGUUGUCGUCAGCUCGUGCCGUGAGGUGUUAGGUUAAGUCCUGCAACGAGCGCAACCCUUACCGUUAGUUACCAGCAUGUUGAGGUGGGGACUCUAGCGGAACUGCCGGCGCAAGCCGCGAGGAAGGUGGGGAUGACGUCAAAUCAGCACGGCCCUUACGUCUAGGGCGACACACGUGCUACAAUGGGCGGUACAGAGGGCAGCUACACCGCGAGGUGAUGCUAAUCUCAAAAGCCGUUCUCAGUUCGGAUUGGAGUCUGCAACCCGACUCCAUGAAGUUGGAUUCGCUAGUAAUCGCGCAUCAGCCAUGGCGCGGUGAAUACGUUCCCGGGCCUUGUACACACCGCCCGU